This 119-nucleotide ribosomal RNA is filed under the name Neogobius melanostomus (round goby). Lineage: Eukaryota; Metazoa; Chordata; Actinopteri; Gobiiformes; Gobiidae. The record is from RNAcentral.
AAUGUAGGUCAUACCACCUUUGCUAUGCCCGAUCCCGUCAGAUCUCGGAAACUAAGCAGAGUAGGGCCUGGUUGGUACUUGGAUGGGAGACCGCUGGGAACACCAGGAAGCCUGGAGUG